UUGUUUAGUAUAGACGAUCGUUUCUCAAACAAAAUAGCAAACCAUGAUAGAGCUUGUCCUAUAAGUAAGGUUCCAACAAGCCCAACACGUGACUCCUCAAUUGGAUAGCGUUCGGGCUAUAAAACUGUUAUCAACCUGAUUUGGUUGACAAAUCCUCAAAACUUGGAACACGUACCAUCGAACUUGUUUGGAAGGCUAACUCGGGGCUCCUUAUGUUGUAGAACCAGUGGUGCUUG
Molecule: long non-coding RNA, 236 nt
Filed under: Physcomitrium patens
Lineage: Eukaryota; Viridiplantae; Streptophyta; Bryopsida; Funariales; Funariaceae
Description: long non-coding RNA (PPAT_LNC004247)
Source: RNAcentral